ACUCCUACGGGAGGCAGCAGUAGGGAAUCUUCCACAAUGGGCGCAAGCCUGAUGGAGUAACACCGCGUGAGUGAAGAAGGGUUUCGGCUCGUAAAGCUCUGUUGUUAAAGAAGAACACGUAUGAGAGUAACUGUUCAUACGUUGACGGUAUUUAACCAGAAAGUCACGGCUAACUACGUGCCAGCAGCCGCGGUAAUACGUAGGUGGCAAGCGUUAUCCGGAUUUAUUGGGCGUAAAGAGAGUGCAGGCGGUUUCUAAGUCUGAUGUGAAAGCCUUCGGCUUAACCGGAGAAGUGCAUCGGAAACUGGAUAACUUGAGUGCAGAAGAGGGUAGUGGAACUCCAUGUGUAGCGGUGGAAUGCGUAGAUAUAUGGAAGAACACCAGUGGCGAAGGCGGCUACCUGGUCUGCAACUGACGCUGAGACUCGAAAGCAUGGGUAGCGAACAGGAUUAGAUACCCCUGGUAGGAAAGCG
RNAcentral lists this ribosomal RNA (473 nucleotides) under uncultured bacterium. RNAcentral describes it as "bacterial SSU rRNA". It matches the Rfam family "Bacterial small subunit ribosomal RNA", at positions 335 to 801 of the family's 1533-position model. The record is from RNAcentral.